This 253-nucleotide ribosomal RNA is filed under the name uncultured bacterium. Its description in RNAcentral is "partial 16S ribosomal RNA". It matches the Rfam family "Bacterial small subunit ribosomal RNA", at positions 524 to 776 of the family's 1533-position model. The record is from RNAcentral.
UACAGAGGUCCCAAGCGUUGUUCGGAUUCACUGGGCGUAAAGCGCGUGUAGGCGGCUCGGUAAGUCUGCUGUGAAAGUCCAGGGCUCAACCCUGGGAUGCCGGUGGAUACUGUCGAGCUCGAGUCCGGAAGAGGCGAGUGGAAUUCCUGGUGUAGCGGUGAAAUGCGCAGAUAUCAGGAGGAACACCAAUGGCGAAGGCAGCUCGCUGGGACGUGACUGACGCUGAGACGCGAAAGCGUGGGGAGCAAACAGG